RNAcentral lists this ribosomal RNA (253 nucleotides) under uncultured bacterium. RNAcentral describes it as "partial 16S ribosomal RNA". It matches the Rfam family "Bacterial small subunit ribosomal RNA", at positions 524 to 776 of the family's 1533-position model. The record is from RNAcentral.
UACAGAGGUCCCGAGCGUUGUUCGGAUUCACUGGGCGUAAAGGGUGCGUAGGCGGUGGGGUAAGUUUGAGGUGAAAGCUCCGGGCUCAACCCGGAAACUGCCUUGAAAACUAUCCGGCUAGAGGGUUGGAGGGGAGACUGGAAUUCUCGGUGUAGCAGUGAAAUGCGUAGAUCUCGAGAGGAACACCAGUGGCGAAGGCGGGUCUCUGGACAACACCUGACGCUGAGGCACGAAAGCCAGGGGAGCAAACGGG